Molecule: long non-coding RNA, 7367 nt
Filed under: Sus scrofa (pig)
Lineage: Eukaryota; Metazoa; Chordata; Mammalia; Artiodactyla; Suidae
Description: lncRNA (ENSSSCG00065041477.1)
Source: RNAcentral
AGAGUAACUAGAAUAAAAGAAUUUUAGACUUUAUAAUUCUUCACAUGAAUAAUCUCUAUAAAGUGGCCGAAAGUACAACUUUUUGAUUUUAUUUCAUCUCUAAGAAUAUCACUUUAAAAUAUUGUUUAUUAAAACUAAACACUCUAAAAUCCAUACCCACUCUGUUGUGCUGUCUUCUGCAAAAGAAACUUAAGAAUUUGGGCUUGGAACCAUUUGGAAUCCCAUCAUCUGCACUUAUUAGCUGUAUAACAUUGGCCAUAUUAUUUAACCAUGAUGAGCUUAACUUUGCUCUUUCUUUAGUGGAAGUGAUUGGUUUUUUUGUUUUUUGAGGAUAAGUUAGAUACUGCAUGUGGUAAGUGCUUAAUGAGUUGCAGUAAUGCUGAGGCUCUAAUAACAUUUUAUUUUUUUAUUUUUAUUUUGCUUUCAUAACAUUUUAAAAUGCCAUUGCUUUUGGUUUUGUAUCUCUUCUUCUCAAGAGGAACCUAUGCUCUGAUUUAUCUGUACUUAUUUAUAGCUGCUAUUAGAGUAAACAAUGUGACCUUCCUCGACAAAAUUGAGCCCCUGUCCCUAAUGGAACUUUUUAACUUUUAAUCCUCAGCACUGAGUGGUAUCCACUCCUUGUAAUAUGCUGCAGUAAUUAAUUGAAGGGCAAAAUCAUGAUAAUCUUGACAGAUGCAGAAAAUGUACAUGAUGAAAUUCAACAUUCAUUUAUGAUGAAAAAAUGCUCUUAGCAAACCUGUUUAAAACAGACAUUCAAUGAUCUAAUAAUGGAUGUCUACAACAAGCAAAAUGACAAAAUAUUUAGUGAUGAGAUAAUGAGAUUAUUCCCUUCGAAAUUGGGAACAAGAAAGGAUAUUAUCACUCCUAUUCAACAGUUGCUCAAGUUCAUAGUAAUGCAGCAGGCAACACAAAAGACAUGAAAUUGUAUAAAGUUUUGAAACGAAAAUAUAAAAGUAAAUUUUUUUUUUUUUUUUUAGGGCCGCGCCUGCAGCAUACGGAAGUUCCCAGGCUAGGGGUUGAGUCAGAGCUGCAGCUGCUGGCUUACACCACAGCCACAACAAUGUGGGAUCUGAGCCACAUUUGCAACCUAUACCACAGUUCACAGAAACACUGGAUCCUUAACCCACUGAGCAAAACCGGGGAUCAAACCUGCAUCCUCAUGGAUACUAGUCAAGUUCACUGGGACACAAAGGGAUCUCCUGAAAGUAAACUUCUAUUAUUUGCAAAUAUUAUGAUUAUAUCUAAAAUUUUUUAAAUAAUUCACAGUUAAACCAUGAAACUUAUAGAGUGUUUUGCAAGAUUUCUGUACGAAAAAUCAGAAUUUUAAAAUCAAUUUCUAAGACAACUUACAGAAUGGGAGAAAAUAGUUGAAAAUGAUGCAACUGACAAGGGCUUAAUCUCUAAAAUAUUCAAACAACUUACAGAACUCAACAGCAAAGAUACCAACAACCCAAUUGAAGAAUGGGCAGAAGACCUGAACAGACAUUUCUCCAAAGAAGAUAUACAGGUGGCUAACAAGCACAUGCAAAAAUGCUCAACAUCACUGAUUAUUAGGGAAAUGCACAUCAAAAUUACUAUGAGGUGUACCACCUCAUGCCAGUCAGAAUGGCCAUCAUUAAUUAGUCCACAAAUAACAAAUGUUGGAGAGAGUGUGGAGAAAAGGGAAUCCUUCUGCGCUGUUGGUGGGAAUGUAAAUUGGUACAACCAGUAUGGAGGUACUUUAGAAAACUAUACAUAGAGCUACCAUAUGACCCAGAUAUCCCACUCUUGGGCAUAUAUCUAGACAGAACUUUCCUUGAAAAAUACACAUGCACCUGUAUGUUUAUUGCAACACUAUUCACAAUAGCCAACACAUAGAAACAACCCAAAUGUCCAUCGACAGAUGACUGGACUAGGAAGAUGUGGUAUAUAUCACAAUGGAAUACUCCUCAGCCAUAAAAAGAACAAAAAUGCCAUAUGCAGCAACAUGGAUGGAACUAGAGACUUUCAUCCUGAGUGAAGUAAGUCAGAAAGAGAAAGACAGAUACCAUAUGAUAUCACUUAUAUCUGGAAUCUAAUAUAAGGCACAAAUGAAUCUUUCCACAGAAAAGAAAAUCAUGGACUUGGAGAAUAGACUUGUGGUUGCCUAGGGGGAAGGGGAGGGAGUGGGAUGGAUUGGGAAUUUGGGGUUAAUAAUAGAUGCAAACUAUUGCCUUUGGAUGAAUAAGCAAUGAUAUCCUGCUGUAUAGCACUGGGAACUAUGUCUAGUCACUUAUGGCGGAGCAUGAUAAUGUGAGAAAAAGGAAUGUUUAUGUGUAUGUGUGACUGGGUCACCUUGCUGCAUAGUAGAAAACUGACAGAACACUGUAAACCAGCUAUAAUGGAAAAAAAUCAUUAAAUAAAAGAAAUAAAGGAAGGGAAAAUAAAAAUAAUAAUAUCAAUUUCUAUACAUCAGAAAGUGUCAGGAAAUUAAAUUUAGCAUAUGCUUUUAUAAUUACAUCAUAAUAUUAAAUAUCUAGUAAUCUGAAUAAAAUGCUGCUAGACUUAUAUACAAAAAUUGCAAUCGCUAAGAGAUAUUAAAUAAAAUCUAAAUCUAAAUUGUGUUAUAAAAUAUAAAUGGAUUGGAAAACUCAAUCUUAUAUCAAUUGUCCAUGAAAUGCUGCAAUCUAAACUCAACAAUUUUUAAAAAUUUGGUGAGCUGAUUGUAAAGUUUACAAGGAAAUGUGAAGGACUUAAGAGAGCCAUGAUUUUUUUGAAGAAGAAAUAUGAGAUGAGAGGACUUAUUCUCAGAUGCCAAAAUAUUAUAAAGCUACAAUAAUUAAGGCAGUGUAGUAUGGGUCAUGAAUAGACAAAUAGACCAAUGUAGAUUUGAAAUAAACCGAAGAAAUCAGGAAUCAUCUGCCACAUAUGGGAACAGUUGCCUCUGUGAAACAAAGCUCUGAGAUCUGGCUGGACUCCACUUUGCAUGGGCAGAUGCUUGAUUAUAGGCUCUGGGGGCCAAGGGAAGCUAUAUUAUGAUAUGCUGCACUUAAUUCUGCCUGGUAUGGCCACCUUGCUCCCAUUAAGCUUUAAAGCCUUUGUUAAGAAGCUUAAUUCUGUAGCUCAUCUGACUGUUUCAAAUAUUUUUGGUAUGAGGACAAGCCUGACUAGAAUUGAGACAAAUGCCAAGAUUCUUAAAGAGAGAAAGGGGACCAGAGUAUUCUGUGUUUAGACCCAACCACCCAAUGUUGGGUCAUUGGGAGCAAUCUUUUUUUCUUUUACUUUUUAGGGCCAAACCUGCAGCAUAUGGAAGUUUCCAGGCUAGGGGUUGAAUCAGAGCUACAGCUGCCAGCCUAUGCCACAGCCACAGCAACACAGGAUCUGAGCCACGUCUGUGACCUACACCACAGCUCAAGGCAACACCAGAUCCCUGACCCACUGAGCAAGACCAGGGAUCAAACCUGCAUCCUCAUGGAUACUAGUCAGGUUUGUUACCCCUGAGCCACAGCAGGAACUCCUGUUGGGGGCAGUUUUUAUGGGCAAGUCAUAUCAGUUGAAUUGUCUUCUAAACCCGUAUUUUCCAAUGGUAGAGCUUUGGGGAUAAAGAGGAACGAUGUGAUAACAAACAGUAGGUAGAUCCCCAGUAGCUCCCAAUCCUGGUAGCCAAAUGCUAGGAGUAUAAACCAGCCAAGUGGUAAGGAUGAUUAAGGAAGUUGAGAGUGCAAAGGCAGGCAGGGUAUGACAAGUGAAAGUCUCACCUCUGGGAACCUGUCAAGAUAACACUGAGGAAAGAAGAAAGGUCUGAGCUUCUCUCAGGUGCCUGCCAUACUGACAGUGGUGACUUUUCAAUUAGAAAUUAAAUAAAUGCCACAAGUGUGGAUUCAGGAAGAUGAGAGAAUGGAGCUUCCCUGACCCAACUCUCUGUGUGGGAGGGGCUAAAAAUACAGGGGCUGAGUAUAAGCCAAGCACAUUUUUUUGUGUCUAUACUACUGUUUUAAUUCAGAAAAACUCUGUCUUUAUAUGCAGGUUAAUCUUUUUUAUUCUUACAGAUAGCUCUUUCGCCUUGUGAAAAGAGCUAGACCAGACUGUCACUGAAUUACUGUAUGCAGUAUUCUGAGAUGUUUGAGAUUUUUUCUUAAAAAUUUUGUUGAGGUGAUAAGGUCUCAAAUAAUUUUCUACUUGGAAAAGAUACUUUUAAAGUAGAGCAUUAAGGAUGCCUAACAAAGACAUAGAUAAUUUAUUAGUAAAUUAUAAAAAUAUCUUGUACAUGUUUUCUUAAGGAAAAUAUUACCUUGUUGGAUGAGAACUGAGAAAAAGCAGUAGAGAGAAAUAUUCUGGAGAAAAACAAUGGACCUAAAAAGUUUUCCACUAAACAGAAAGUACAGAGGCCAGUGUCAGGUAUAGCUGGAUCCAGAUGCUCUCACAAUAUGACCAGAAAACUAACUGUAUUCAUUUCUGAGCUUCUUGCAUUUUUAUUUUCAUUCUCUAAAAAACUCUUCCCACCUGGUGGUAAAGAUGGACAGAAAUAACUCAAGUCUUUAUUCUAUCAUAUUCACAACUCUAGCAAAAUAAAUACAUCCCUUUUAUGAUUAUAUUAUUAAAAGUCUUUGAAUUGGCUCUGGUUUUCCAGGCCUGCGUGAUUGGGGCUGGGGUCAGUCUAAUCUGAAUCACGUAGACAGAAUUGUGCAAGAGUGCUGUGCUGAUGAACAUUUUUUUCCACUGCAAAAUAAUCACUAAGUGGAAGUGUGAUAAGUAUCUAUUGCUUAGAAAAUAUUUGUCAUGCUUCUAACGUCCCCAGUCUUGCCAAUAUGCCUGCCUGGCUCUUAGAAGACAGUUGGGUUGUCUUCACUAGUGAAGUCUCCCUCCUUUUCAGGUAUACACACUUCCAGAUGGGUAAAGCCCAUGGAACCUGUGGUGUGCCAUAUUUUUUUUCCAUGAAAAUUUUAGUGAUUUAAAACCAGUGGUGUUUUUCAGGUCAUUGUGUUUCCAUUUAAUAAAGUACUUAAUAUGAGAAUUUUAAAGUUGGGGUCAGUACUCCAUAUUUUGGGCCACGUCUAUCCCUCAGCAUUUUUUUAAUGACAUACCUUAAUUUCAAAAGUAAACUCUUCCCCAGUCAUUCAACAUCCAUUUAUUAUGGGCCUGCUAGUUAUGAUCUACUUAGGUACAAGGUUUGUUAAUUAACAUGUAAAUCAGGGUCUCUGUCCACGAUAUCCAGCAUAAUGAAUCUCAUUUACCCCUGUUCAGAUCUGUCUCUUUUCUUUCUACUCUGAGCUUAGAUUUGCCCCCAUGUAAGAAAUUUAAAUUUUUCAACAAAAAUUCAGUAUUUCUUUUUAACUAAAGCUGUUUUGAAGGCACACUCUAGUGAGAGUAGUCUGAUACAAAUGACACUAUUCAUAGUGAACAACUAACAGGUCAGCUGCAGAUUGAGUCAUGUUUUAACAAGUAGAGCAUGUGUGUGAACUCUGACCCCCAGGCAAGGUUUCUGCAACUUAACAAUUAAAAUAUGAAUGUAAUAAUCUCCUGAAAACUAUUGUACAUGUCAGAAACUCUAACCAAAGUAGUAUUGCCAGGCAAGUUUUCUGCAACUUAACAAUUAAAGUAGUGAAUGUAAUAAUCUCCUGAAAACUAUUGUACAUGUCAGAAACUCUAACCAAAGUAGUAUUGCCAGGCAAGUUUUCUGCAACUUAACAAUUAAAGUAGUGAAUGUAAUAAUCUCCUGAAAACUAUUGUACAUGUCAGAAACUCUAACCAAAGUAGUAUUGCCAGGCAUUGUUCUUGAAAAAACUUACAAUAAGAGAAAAACAUUUUUUUUCCUGUUAUGCCUCUUUUUUUUCAGGAAGAAGCAAAAGGAAUCUUAAUGAAUUGGAGACAAUUGGAGAUGGUUUAUAAGGAUGAAGUUCAAAGGUUUUUCUUUAGAAGCCAUUGAGUUGGUAGUCUAGGAGAGCACCUUGUAGUGGUAUUUGCAUAAGGAGAAAGAUGUCAAAUAUUCAAAGAUGCCUUUACUCAAAGAGCCAGUGGCACUUAAGUGGCCAAAUAGCUUAUAAGCACUUAUUAAGGUAAGCAAAGCCUCACUCAUUGCUUGUUGUCAGACAUCUGAUUCUAAUUAUGGGAGAGCUAGAUAAACGAUGAUGCUUGGGGUAGAUAGAAGCUGGUAUGCCUUUUCUAAGCUCAUUAGUGCUUACAGCUUGCCAGUUUACACAUACACACACAAGGGGUCUGAAAUAAAGACUAGUUUCUGUGUUGUUUGUGUCUGUAUUCUAGUGAUAAUCUUCUGCAGGGAUAAAUACAGCUUCAGAUGUAACCCUAGAUUAAAAAAGCAAAAAAUAAAAAAAAACCUAGCUUUCAGUUCACAUUUUCUCAAAUCACCCUCCAGCCCUAACCCCUGGAGUAUCACUGGAGCUGUAUUACUGUUAUUUCUCCCUAAAUCACACAAUCCCAUUUCUCUACCGUUUUUUGCUUUCCCUAACUGCACUCUAACCCCUGCCACAACAAGAUCAAAAACAACAUCAAGGAAAACCCCACAAAGGUUUUGUUUAAAUUCCCUUCUACCUCACUUUCCAUCAAAUAAAUUCCUUAGAAGUCAUAUCAUGAUUAAUAUUGUUAGUUUUCAGUAGAAUCAUUCCACUAAUUUCACAAAAAUAUGAAUCAUAAAGAUAGAAGAUUGAACAUUAUUUAUAUAUUCUUAUUUCUUCUACUUUUUAUGUUAGAAUCCUAAAAAACAAAAAUUGAUUUUUACUAAUGUGUCAUUGCUACAUAUGAAGCAUAUAUGAGAAAAUUUACUUAAAUUUAACUCAGUUUACAGUAGCCUCACCCAGCUUGCUAUUACUAUUAUCUUUCAAUAAUUUUUCUCCCCAGCUGCUAUCAGCUGCUACUUAAACCUAUGUGCUUAAUAAAUAGAGUUGGGGUGAUUUUCAUUUCUAUUUUCUUCUUUUCCAUAUUUUCAAAAAUUUUCAAGAGAUUUUGUGAUACUGAUCACCUCCUUGAACUGGGGAAAUAACCAGGAAAUACAUUCCACGUCUCAUUGCCUCUGAAUAACCACAUGCACAAGCAACCAUCGCUUAAGGAAGACUCAGAAUUCUAGGGACAACAGAUCAUGUGUGGUUACAGGCACCAUUUUAAAGAUCAGGCUAGCUCUGAGUUGCCAUGGCAAACUAUUUGAAAUAGUCUGCUCUACAGAUUCUGCCUGCUGUAUGGGGUUGUUUAUAUAGUCCAGUGUAAAUGAUAUCACUGGGAAACAACUAAGCUCCUAUUACAAUGACUAAAAUCAACAAGCAAUGACUUGCCAACAUAAUACUUGUUUAUUCUCAUCUUGGUAUGUGUUUCGUGGAAUACUCCUUACAAUUACCAUACACUUAAAAGGGGAAAUUUUACUGAAUGUAAAUUUUAGUUCAAAAAAAAAAAAAAAAAAA